Molecule: long non-coding RNA, 2655 nt
Filed under: Sus scrofa (pig)
Lineage: Eukaryota; Metazoa; Chordata; Mammalia; Artiodactyla; Suidae
Description: lncRNA (ENSSSCG00050023593.1)
Source: RNAcentral
GUUUCUACGGCUCCCACGCUGGGCCAAACGCCGCCGGGCGCCGGGCGCGGGAGCCCCUGGCCCUUCGGGGCAGCCCCGAGCGGGGACGCUUGAGGGUCCGGGCCGCGCCGUCGGCACCAUUCCUGUGGUGGCUGCCACUCAGGGACUGAUUCGCCCUGGAUAAAGCAGCCACAGAAGUGCAGGCAGGAAUGGGCAUCCCAGAUAAGAGCCAGACGGCCCACGCCUCCCCCGGCGCUCGGCCUCGGACCCCGGGGCCCGGGCGCUCAUGACGCCUAUGCUGACCGCCACCCGGACGCCGCCGCUGCGAGCCUGCGCUGCCGCCCGGCCCGAUGCCGGUCAUGCCGAUCCCCCGGCGGGUGCGCUCCUUCCACGGCCCGCACACCACCUGCCUGCACGCGGCCUGCGGGCCCGCGCGCGCCUCGCGCCUGGCCCGCACCAAGUACAACAACUUCGACGUCUACGUGCGGGCGCGCUGGCUCUACGGCUUCAUCCGCUUCCUGCUCUACUUCAGCUGCAGCCUCUUCACCGCCGCGCUGUGGGGCGCGCUGGCCGCCCUCUUCUGCCUGCAGUACCUGGGCGUGCGCGUCCUGCUGCGCUUCCAGCUCAAGCUGUCGCUGCUGCUGCUGCUGCUGGGCCGCCGGCGCGUGGACUUCCGCCUCCUGAACGAGCUGCUCAUCUACGGCAUCCACGUGACCAUGCUGCUGGUGGGCGGCCUGGGCUGGUGUUUCAUGGUCUUCGUGGACAUGUGAGGGCCCGGCCACCUCGCCCUGGGGGGGCUCUGCUGGAAGCCCCGGGUGCAUGCACCUGCUGCAGGUUCUUUUCUUGAGACCUGGGAGGCCGGGCCCGGUCCGCCCUUGCCCACAGACACCACCUGGGUGCCUGACCUGGGAGAGGAGAGGGCUGAGGCUUUCUGUGAAGGGACCUUGGCACCUGCCCUCCUUUCUGUGCGUGCUUUCGGGGCAGGACCUCCGGCCACCUGCUUGUGGUUCCAGGCUGCACUUUGCCGAGCUGUGCCAGGGUGGGAGCUGGGGGGGGGGUCCGGUCUGCACUUGGGGAGCCUGUGUCCCUGUCCCCAAUCCAGGACACUGGCAUCGCCUCUGGAGUUCCCUGGGAGAGGGGCUGCCCAGGCGCACUUCUCGGGAGGGGUGUGACUGCUCCCGGCCCAGCCUUAGGGAAGCGUCAGGCUCCACCAGCAGACGCACCGCACUGCCACCAAGCUCUUCACUCUGCCCCGGGCCACCCGAGCCCUGGCCUAGCCCGCAGGCCCUCCGCCAUCUGUCACUCUGUGAGGCGCUGGUCCUGAGUCCCAGGCUGGGCUUCAGGGUCACCUCGGUUUGCCUGGCAGGUUCCCAGAUCAGGGUCAACCCAGAGGAGUGUGGGGCCCAGGGUCCACCUGUCUCCCUCCUGGGUGGCGGGUCCCAGGGCCCACCUGUCGCCCUCCUGGAUGGGCCUGUUGAGAGUGCCAGCCAGGUGCUGUCAUCUCGUCAAGCGUCCGUUUCUGGGGAGGCGGCUCUGUCUUUUUCUGGCUUUGGGGGGCUUUCCAUCCCAUCCCCUGAGGGAGUGUCCAGGAUGGAGACGUGCUUGUCGGAAGCAGAUGUCAGAGGUGGCCCGAGGGCACCAGGCUGGACCUCCCAGCGAGGGGCUCGGCCGCCCUUGUUCCUGCCUCGGCAGCUGUUAGAAUGGAAUGAGGGCGUUCCUGCGGAGGCUCAGUGGUUAACAAACCCCACUAGUGUCCAUGAGGACACAGGUUCAAUCCCUGGCCUCGCUCAGUGGGUUAGGGAUCUGGUGUUGGCCAUGAGCAGUGGUGCAGGUUGCAGAGGAGGCUUGGAUCCUGCGUUGCUGUGGCUGGGGUGGGUGUAGGCCAGCUCCAGUUCUACCCCUAGCCUGGGAACUUCCAUAUGCUGCACGUGCGGCCCUAAAAAAGCAAAAAAAAGCAAGUUGAACGUGGGCCGGAAAAGAGCAAGUGGCCCAGAGGGCUUCUGCUUGUGGAGAGAACACGCCGGAGGCUGGUGCUUGCCCAGACCCUCCCCCUGGCCUCUGCCCAGUGGGGCGUCGCGGGCAAGUGAGAGGGACUGAGUAACUACGCUGGGGCACCAGCCAGAGGCAGGACUCAGGGCCCCAAAUUGAGGGUGACACCUCAAAUUGUCCCCACAACCCCUGGGCACGGGCGGUGGCCCCGGCAGCCCUGCCUGGCCUGCCAGCCCAGCGGCCAGGGGCAGCUGGCAGGACCAUUAUGUGCCCCCCGCGAGGCAAACCCGAAUCAGGUAGAGAGCAGAAAAGUACUCGGCUGUGCGCCAAGCCCUUGACUCCGUAGCCAGCUUCGGGCUGACGCGGCCACGCGCGGUCCGGGCAGCUCCUGCAGGCAGAGGGAGCGAGUCCGCCUGACCUGCGUGGGUGGCGGGCCAGGAGCCGGCCCGCGCGGACCCUCUUCUCAGGGCUGCAGAGAGUCAUUUGCACUGGAUCACGCUGUUCCCGUAAAGCUUCGUCUUGUGUUCACUGGCAGCCGUUACCCGGGCCCGCGGAGGCUGCCCGCGGGGGCGUGGGCGCAGGGCUGGGCGUCGGGCCUCGGCGGCGCAGAUGCAGAGCUGCUCCCUGCCGCGAGUGCCUGUGAAGUCCUUUAUGGAAUGAGCCACCUGCAUUAAACUUAUUUUUUUA